Molecule: ribosomal RNA, 403 nt
Filed under: uncultured bacterium
Lineage: Bacteria
Description: partial 16S ribosomal RNA
Rfam family: Bacterial small subunit ribosomal RNA
Source: RNAcentral
AUUGAACGCUGGCGGCAGGCCUAACACAUGCAAGUCGAGCGAGCGGCGGACGGGGGAGUAAUGUAUGUGGCCUGCCCGCUAGAGGGGGAUAACUACUGGAAACGGUGGCUAAUACCGCAUACUAGCGGAUAACCCAUAUGGGAUUAGCUAGUAGGUGGGGUAAAGGCUACCCUAGGCGACGAUCUCUAGCUGGUCUGAGAGGACGAUCAGCCACACUGGAACUGAGACACGGCCCAGACUCCUACGGAGGCAGCAGUGGGGAGUGUUGCACAAUGGGCGCAAGCCUGAUGCAGCCAUGCCGCGUGUAGGAAGAAGGCCUUAGGGUUGUAAAGUACUUUCAGCGGGGAGGCGUUACCCGCAGAAGAAGCACCGGCUAACUCCGUGCCAGCAGCCGCGGUAAUAC